AUGAAAGAAAAAGGAAGGAGAAAAGAGGGGGGAAGGGACAAAAGAGGAUACCCCCAUUUUUCCACUCACGGGAAUGAGGAGAAUAAGAGAGAGAUGGAAGGAAUUAUUUCUUCAUUCACACCCUCUUCACUCCCAAAUCAACAGAAAGAAAUAAAGAGAGGAGAGAAAUAGAGAGAAUCAGAAGAAGAAGAAGAAGAAUAAGAAGAAAAGAAAAGGUAUUUCUAAAUUUUUUUGAUUUAUUCUUAGAUUUAUGAAUAUUUUUUUUGAGUACAUAUUUAUGUAUGUAUUGAAUGAUUUAAACUUGCAAAAACAUGAAUUAAAUGAGAGAAAUCAAGAAAUCAAGUGAAAAACGAAAUCUGGAAAUUUUCAUGAAAAGUUAGUUUACUACUUGAUUUUGUAAAAUUCAUAACUCUUUGUGUAUAAUGAGUUAGGAGAUGAUCCAUAUAUCAAAAGAAAGCCCCAGAAGUAAACUAAACGCAAAAAUUUGAAUCACUCAAAAAUUCUUUGUGAAUUUUCAAUGGUGACUGUUUGAGUGAAACUGGUACGAAGGACUCAUAGUCCGAAAAAUCAGUGUUCUUGACCUCUAUUGCGUGAAUUAUAAUUUUCAAUCCGACCAUUGGAUCGUUGUAAUUUUUGGAUAUGUUAUACAUAUAUAAGUUGAGUAUAUGUCCACAAAUUUUGAACCGUUAGAGAUUAACUUAUAAUUUGUUAUGAAUUUCGUGAGGUGACUGAUUCAUAUUUUUUGUAGCAGAAUUUUCGAUAGGCCUUUCUCUCUAUGUUAGAAUCGGAUUUUGGGAAAACUUUCUUCUACAAAGUUGUAGAGAAUUAGAUUUUACAUGGAAAGGGCAUAAGAUCCUUAUUUUUCUGAUAAAAGGAUAAUUAUUAUGAAUUACUAAAAUUUCUGAAUAUUAGAGUUUGUAAUUAAAUUAUUAGAAAAAUUAUUUGGGUUGAGAUAUUUUUACAUAAUUCUUAUAAUAUCAGUUUAGAGUUUCUGUAAAUUUUUGAUGAAUUAUUGAAAAGCAGAAGUAAUUAUUAUAUUUUUAAACUAUUUAUAGUUAGUUUAAAAAUAGAAGAAAUUCAUAGAAAAUUCUAUGAAUGAUGAAAAAUUAUGAAAGUUGAUGAAAAAUCUUAUAAUAUUAUUGUAUAAUUUCUGGACAGUUUUGGAAAAUUAUUGAACAACAUAAAUAUUUAUUGCAUUUUUAAACUGUUUAUGGUUUGUUUAAAAAUAGAGGAAAUUCAUAGGAAAUUCUAUGAAUGGUGGAAAAUUAUGAAUUUUUUUGAAAAAUAUUAUAAUAAUAUAAGAUUAAUAUUUAUGAUGUUUUAAAGAUAUAAAAGUAUGUGGAGUUAGUAUUUUUAUUUUGAAGCUAUUAAAUGAUAGUUUUUAUAAAUAGAAAUAAUUAUAGAAAAUUGUUGGAUAAUCCGAAAAAUCUGAAAAUUGUUUAGAAAAUUCAGAAUCAUAUUUUUUAAAUAUUUUAGAAGUGUUAGUAAGCUCAUGAGGUGUCGGGAUGUAAAUGCACUAGUAACGAAUGAGUUAUGAUAAGAACAAAAAUAAUAUUUUUGUUAAAGUAAAAAUGGUGAUAAUACCAGAAUAGUGGAUUGUCAUAUAUGAGGUUUUAGAUUCCUCAAGUUUUAUUAUUCACUUAUAAUGUUUUGGAAUAUGAAUAAUAAUUUUAUGCGAUAAAUAAAGAUAACUUGAAUGAAUAAUGACUUAUUAGUUUGUUUAUAUGUUAUUUGAGAUAAAUAUGUUUUGGUGUUGAUCCCUAUUUUUAAUAGAAUUUAAAUUAUUUAUAGUAAGGUAUUGAUUUGAUUCUUACGUAAGAAGUCACUAUGUAUUUCAUUCAAUAAUUAUCACAGUAGUUAUUGCACAGUGAUUCAUAUUAUUGUUUCUUAAUUACGUAAGAAGUCACUCAGUCUUUCAUUCAAUAAUUGUCACAGUAGUUAUUGUACAGUGACUCAUAUUAUUUGAUAUGAUAUAAUUAAACCAGUUGGCAGUAUUGUGAGUCUAUGUUAAUAAUCAUGAAUAAUAGUUGAAGGAUUUAAGAUGUGUAAAUAAUUGAUGAAUAAAAGGUGUUGAUUAAAGAUAAGUAUGAUAUACAAACGUUUGUUCAAUUAUUUUCUUUUUACAAAAGUAAAUUGGCAGGACUUGCCGACACUCUACUUUAUCUAAAGUAGUAUGGACCACAACUCUAUUAUUGAAUAAAUUUUGUUAAAACGUGUACAAGUUGGUUUAAUUUUCUCUAUGGGACCAUAAAUUCCACUACCAUUAUAAUAUACCUCAUUUGGUUAUUUUGUCAAAGCAGGUGUGCGUUGUUUACUAAGUUUUCAGUAUAAAUAAGUUGCUCGGUUGAGUAACUAAACACACACCAUCACUACACUAAAAAUAUAGAAUUCUUUUAUUUCAAUAUUCUGAGUAUAAUAUUGUGAGUAUUUCUAUUGAGUAUAAUGUUACUCCAAGUGUAGAUAAGGAAUGCAAGCAUUGUUUAAGUUGAUCAAUUUCACAGAAAGCAAAAUCAAGUCAUAUGCUAAGGUAAGGAAUAUCAUUAUUGUGGUAAGAGGGUAUCAUUUUUAUGGUAAAAGGAAUAUCAUUUUCUUUCAUACUCCAUGUUAUGGUAAGAUAUUAUUAUUCGUUUAUUCAGUUUAUCAUUAAAUGGUGGAAAGUCCUGAAAGGAUUAGAAUAUCCUUAAUAGUUUGUGAUUCAUCUAUUAUUAUGUUAUCAAUUUGGACUCUGGAGAAUUAAGUUGAAAAUCACUAAGAUCUAUGUUAUCUUAUUAUUCUGAUGAUUUAUGUUUAUUCAUUAUAUAUAUCAUUGUCAUCAUUCUCAUACUUAUAUUGUGUUGAAAGUCAUCUAUGGCCAGUAGUGCAUAGAUGGACUUGGUAUGAUUAUGACCAGGGAUUAUUCGGUAUAAUCAUGACCGUAAUGUUACAAAUGAUGUGGUAAAAAUCAUCUUUGGCCCGAAGUGCAUAGAUGUACUUGGUAUGAUUAUGACCAGGGAUUAUUUGGUGUAAUCAUGACCUUAAUUGAAAACACGAAUAUCCUUGACCCGUAGUGCAUCGAUAAUUCGUGGCCGUGAUACUAUUAAGCUGAGUCUCGGCAUUAUUGGUUUUACAGUUGUAUAUCUUUGGCCUGUAGUGCAAAGGUGGACUGUUAGUUAUUGGUUUUACAGUUGUAUGAACUAUUGAUUUACCUGAUUAUUAAUAUGAAUUGUGAAUUUAAUUAUAAUCUGUGGUGGUUCAGGUGAAGACAGGUGAUGAGAGUUCUCUUUGUCUUGGGUAUAACAAAGAACUAUUGAUGAGUAUUACAGGAAUGAAAUAUUAAUGAUGGACUUUUAUUCUAGAGGAGAUAGUAGACAUUAUGUUCUACUUGACUCUUCUAAUGGAUUGUUGAUUCCGCUGCUAUUAUGGUUGAAAACUUUUAUCUUCUACCACAUGUUCUAAAUAUAUGAAUUAUUAUUGAUGAAG
This 3459-nucleotide long non-coding RNA is filed under the name Panax ginseng (ginseng). RNAcentral describes it as "long non-coding RNA (PGIN_LNC010851)". Lineage: Eukaryota; Viridiplantae; Streptophyta; Magnoliopsida; Apiales; Araliaceae. The record is from RNAcentral.